RNAcentral lists this transfer RNA (89 nucleotides) under Oceanicaulis sp. RNAcentral's name for it is "tRNA-Ser". It matches the Rfam family "tRNA". From Rfam's summary of the family: Transfer RNA (tRNA) molecules are approximately 80 nucleotides in length. Their secondary structure includes four short double-helical elements and three loops (D, anti-codon, and T loops). Lineage: Bacteria; Pseudomonadati; Pseudomonadota; Alphaproteobacteria; Maricaulales; Maricaulaceae. The record is from RNAcentral.
GGUGAGGUGGCCGAGUGGUCGAAGGCGCACGCCUGGAACGCGUGUAGCGGGUAACCGUCUCGUGGGUUCGAAUCCCACCCUCACCGCCA